Molecule: ribosomal RNA, 248 nt
Filed under: uncultured bacterium
Lineage: Bacteria
Description: partial small subunit ribosomal RNA
Rfam family: Bacterial small subunit ribosomal RNA
Source: RNAcentral
AGAAUCAACGCUGGCGGCGUGCCUAACACAUGCAAGUCGCACGAGAAAGGGGACUUCGGUCCCUGGAGUACAGUGGCGCACGGGUGAGUAACACGUGAAUAAUCUACCUCCGAGUGGGGAAUAACUGAGAGAAAUCUUAGCUAAUACCGCAUAACACUUACGAGUCGAAAGCAGCAAUGCGCUUGGAGAGGAGUUCGCGGCAGAUUAGUUAGUUGGCGGGUAAUGGCCCACCAAGACGAUGAUCUGUA